Molecule: unclassified non-coding RNA, 381 nt
Filed under: uncultured fungus
Lineage: Eukaryota; Fungi
Description: partial contains 5.8S ribosomal RNA and internal transcribed spacer 2
Rfam family: 5.8S ribosomal RNA (bases 1-133)
Source: RNAcentral
UGGCUCUCGCAUCGAUGAAGAACGCAGCGAAAUGCGAUAAGUAAUGUGAAUUGCAGAAUUCAGUGAAUCAUCGAAUCUUUGAACGCACCUUGCGCUCCUUGGUAUUCCGAGGAGCAUGCCUGUUUGAGUGUCUUGAAGUCAUCAACCCCGAACGUUUCUUCCGAGGGCGAUCGGCGGUUGGACAUGGGGGCUCUGCCCGCUCUACGAGCCGGCUCCCCUCAAAUGCUUCGGUUGGGCCUGCGGGUCGAACUCGACUGGGCGUUGUACCAUCCUCGCUCGAACGAGACGGACCCCUUCCGCGCCCCGCCUCGACCUGCCCCCCUGCGGGCGGUCAAUCAAGCUUUGAAAUCUGACCUCAAAUCAGGUAGGACUACCCGCUGA